RNAcentral lists this long non-coding RNA (229 nucleotides) under Prunus persica (peach). RNAcentral describes it as "long non-coding RNA (PPER_LNC006028)". Lineage: Eukaryota; Viridiplantae; Streptophyta; Magnoliopsida; Rosales; Rosaceae. The record is from RNAcentral.
CUACAAAUUUACAUUAAUACAUUUAAACUAACGACAAAAAAUACAUACCCAAUGAACGUACUGAAUUCACAGCAGAGCAGCGGCAGGGAGAGUGAGAGAGAGGCAGAAUGCAAUUUCUGCAUUCUGCCUCUGCAAUGGCAGAUACUAAUAUGAAGAAGAAGGACUUUGCGCGACGAACAUUCAAAAUCCGUCGCGCAAAAUGCCGUCACGAAAACUCACUUUUCCGUCG